CACUCAGAGGCGAGCUUCUGGGAGCAGUCGGCAGGAAGGACAGAAGACACCAGGGAAGGUAAAAAGGGCUUGCAAGUGGGAAACAUCUAGAGAACCCAGGAGCAGCAUGGGGGUCGAGGGGCAGAGCGCUCUCUCUCACACUCCCAUCCAUUCCCUAAGCUAUGCGGAUUCAGCACAGGUGCUGACUGGCUGCAUGGAGAUGCAACCACCACUGCUAUUCCAGGUGCAAUCUUUGUGAAGAGGGAAGAUGUUCUCAUGGAAUGAAAGAAACCAUCUGUGCAUGCCGAGCGACAUCCCUCAGCAUUGCCAUUUCUUGAGGAGUAUAGAAAAGCCAGGAUGAGGCCCCUCUGCUAUCCUGAGAGCUUGGGGAGUUUCCAAGAAGGCUCUAAGCCAGUGCUGUGAAUUUGAAGGCCAACCAGAACCACUUCAGUUGCUCUUGGUGACUCACACUUCCGGAAGUCCGGAAACCCUUCCUCCGCCAUGACUCACCUGAGCACUAUUCCUCUGUGGAGUUUCCAGGACAUUCUCUAAAAGCAGAGACAUCCUUCUGUCUGCAAAGUUCACUGCCCAUAUGCUGAGCAUUAGCUCUCAGCUCCAACAUAUGGAUCCUGUUACUUCAAUGCUCUCACUGCUGGAGAAUAUCCUUAUUCUAAGUGAAAAAACAGCCUUCACUUUUCCUUUUUCUUUCUUUUUUUUUAAAGCUCCUUUCACAAAAGAACAUGACUCUCAGGGGGGAGUCAAGCUGAAGAGCUUUCAUUCCCAAAUGCUGCCAGGAUCUAUCUAUGGACAACAACAGGAGAGAAAGAGAAAUGCGAAUUUCAAAGGAAUUCCCAGCCUAACGGGAUCCCUCACACACAUUUAUCAUCAGGUCUAAAAAAAGAAAUCUUCCAUGGAGAGUGCUGGCCCUUUGCACACAAGGAAAAGAGACUUAUUUCUCUCUCAAAGCACCAGACAGGGCUGGGGCAGAGGAGCCUAGCCACUCUGCAAACAAUGCUUAGAUGUUUUAGACUGUAGUCCGUGUAGAUUUUCCUCCUGCGCAUGCCAAACCUUGAAUUAUUAGGUCUAAUAAUGAGAAGGGGAACCCUGUGGUAAAGUCCAAACUCUUCGCCUCCCUUCUUCUACCUGUUUUUUUCUCUUUCACUGUUUUGCAAUAAAAUCUCCUGAAUUGU
RNAcentral lists this long non-coding RNA (1169 nucleotides) under Mus musculus (house mouse). RNAcentral's name for it is "predicted gene 11149". Lineage: Eukaryota; Metazoa; Chordata; Mammalia; Rodentia; Muridae. The record is from RNAcentral.